GACGAACGCUGGCGGCGUGCUUAACACAUGCAAGUCGAACGAAGAGCGAUGGAAGCUUGCUUCUCUCAAUCUUAGUGGCGAACGGGUGAGUAACGCGUAAUCAACCUGCCCUUCAGAGGGGGACAACAGUUGGAAACGACUGCUAAUACCGCAUACGAUCUAACCUCGGCAUCGAGGAUAGAUGAAAGGUGGCCUCUACAUGUAAGCUAUCACUGAAGGAGGGGAUUGCGUCUGAUUAGCUAGUUGGAGGGGUAACGGCCCACCAAGGCGAUGAUCAGUAGCCGGUCUGAGAGGAUGAACGGCCACAUUGGGACUGAGACACGGCCCAGACUCCUACGGGAGGCAGCAGUGGGGAAUCUUCCGCAAUAGACGAAAGUCUGACGGAGCAACGCCGCGUGAGUGAUGACGGCCUUCGGGUUGUAAAGCUCUGUUAAUCGGGACGAAAGGCCUUCUUGCGAAUAGUUAGAAGGAUUGACGGUACCGGAAGAGAAAGCCACGGCUAACUACGUG
Molecule: ribosomal RNA, 510 nt
Filed under: uncultured bacterium
Lineage: Bacteria
Description: partial 16S ribosomal RNA
Rfam family: Bacterial small subunit ribosomal RNA
Source: RNAcentral